Molecule: long non-coding RNA, 260 nt
Organism: Eufriesea mexicana
Lineage: Eukaryota; Metazoa; Arthropoda; Insecta; Hymenoptera; Apidae
Exons: 3
Source: RefSeq, a predicted model, not a curated record
UCUUCACUCGAGUCGUGUGUAGCAAAAUGGCCGCCCGACCAAAGUGAGUGUGACGUUUCGUGAGGUGAUUGCAUCGUUGUUUUAAGUGGUUUUUACGAAUAUUCGUUCAUGUGACAUAGUGUUAUUGUGCUUCCUGUGUUUAUCCGCAGGUCCGUUAAGAAAAUCCGAGUAUUUGAUAAGAGGGGCACAUAUUCGGAGGAUGGACAAUCAAUCUGAUGUAUAGGUUCGCAUAGGCCACUGCGGGAGUUGCGAUGCCAACG